UGGCCCCUUUCUUUGUUGGUACCAGAAUUGAACAAUCACCGUCAAUGACCACAUCGAUUGACACUUUGACGUUCUCAACAUCCACUUCGAAGUCAAAUAUUGUCUCGGCUCCAACGAUAUUUUCCUUUGAUCCAAUUGCAAGAAAACAAGAAGUCCCAUCCUAUUUUUGAAGUCAUGGUAAAAUAUGUAAAUCAUUAUUAACACUAAGCUACAAUGCUAUGAAGCACAAUCAAUAGUAACCUUUAUUUUUUUCGAGUUUGCAGGCCUCUUUGCUUCAUCUUCCUUACAUACAUUCACAUUUUCAUCUUCUAGUUCAACCACUUCUUUCAACUUUUUUUUAUGAGCAAUCAGUAAUCGAAUCUUCAUCUUCCUCACAAGCGCUCACCUUAUCUUCAUCUUUCUCUUCAACCACUUCUUCCACUUCAGCCUCUCUUGGUGUGUCUGUGUCAUCUUUCUCUUCACCUACUUCUUUCUCUUUUGAACAUUCUCCACUCUUCUUGUGUUUAAG
RNAcentral lists this unclassified non-coding RNA (508 nucleotides) under Hevea brasiliensis (rubber tree). Lineage: Eukaryota; Viridiplantae; Streptophyta; Magnoliopsida; Malpighiales; Euphorbiaceae. The record is from RNAcentral.